Long non-coding RNA from Lolium rigidum, 321 nucleotides. RefSeq lists it as uncharacterized. The record is from RefSeq and is a predicted model, not a curated record. Lineage: Eukaryota; Viridiplantae; Streptophyta; Magnoliopsida; Poales; Poaceae. The transcript has 2 exons.
UGAACAGGGGAACGAGCUACGGAGGCGAGUCGACGGCGGCGAGGAAAGGCGACGGCGGCGGGGAAAGAACUAGCAAAUCAAGAAGGCGCCGACGAGAUCCUCCUCCGGCGACUGGUCCCCGGUUGGUGUCGAUGACAAUGUUUGGAAGCUGCUGGACGGAUGAAUGAUCCAAUCGACUGUUUUUUUGGAAGGAGCAUAAAAAGAUUAUACCUGGCAAAAUAUUCUUGUAAACGUAACGAGGCAUGUGUUUUAGCUCCGAUCUGUCGAGCAUAUAUUUAAACUCUGUUCAUGUUCAAUAAAAUCUGAAUGACAUUGAGUUCA